CGUUAAGUCGACCGCUGGGGAGUACGGCGCAAGGUUAAAACUCAAAUGAAUUGACGGGGGCCCGCACAAGCGGUGGAGCAUGUGGUUUAAUUCGAUGCAACGCGAAGAACCUUACCUACUCUUGACAUCCAGAGAACUUAGCAGAGAUGCUUUGGUGCCUUCGGGAACUCUGAGACAGGUGCUGCAUGGCUGUCGUCAGCUCGUGUUGUGAAAUGUUGGGUUAAGUCCCGCAACGAGCGCAACCCUUAUCCUUUGUUGCCAGCGGUUAGGCCGGGAACUCAAAGGAGACUGCCAGUGAUAAACUGGAGGAAGGUGGGGAUGACGUCAAGUCAUCAUGGCCCUUACGAGUAGGGCUACACACGUGCUACAAUGGCGCAUACAAAGAGAAGCGACCUCGCGAGAGCAAGCGGACCUCAUAAAGUGCGUCGUAGUCCGGAUUGGAGUCUGCAACUCGACUCCAUGAAGUCGGAAUCGCUAGUAAUCGUAGAUCAGAAUGCUACGGUGAAUACGUUCCCGGGCCUUGUACACACCGCCCGUCACACCAUGGGAGUGGGUUGCAAAAGAAGUAGGUAGCUUAACCUUCGGGAGGGCGCUUACCACUUUGUGAUUCAUGACUGGGGUGAAGUCGUAACAAGGUAACCAAGGGCGAAUUCCAG
Molecule: ribosomal RNA, 656 nt
Filed under: uncultured Serratia sp.
Lineage: Bacteria; Pseudomonadati; Pseudomonadota; Gammaproteobacteria; Enterobacterales; Yersiniaceae
Description: bacterial SSU rRNA
Rfam family: Bacterial small subunit ribosomal RNA
Source: RNAcentral